This 76-nucleotide transfer RNA is filed under the name Salmonella enterica subsp. enterica serovar Newport. RNAcentral's name for it is "tRNA-Lys". The stretch from base 4 to 69 matches the Rfam family "tRNA". Rfam says of the family: Transfer RNA (tRNA) molecules are approximately 80 nucleotides in length. Their secondary structure includes four short double-helical elements and three loops (D, anti-codon, and T loops). Further hydrogen bonds mediate the characteristic L-shaped molecular structure. tRNAs have two regions of fundamental functional importance: the anti-codon, which is responsible for specific mRNA codon recognition, and the 3' end, to which the tRNAs corresponding amino acid is attached (by aminoacyl-tRNA synthetases). tRNAs cope with the degeneracy of the genetic code in two manners: having more than one tRNA (with a specific anti-codon) for a particular amino acid; and 'wobble' base-pairing, i.e. permitting non-standard base-pairing at the 3rd anti-codon position. Lineage: Bacteria; Pseudomonadati; Pseudomonadota; Gammaproteobacteria; Enterobacterales; Enterobacteriaceae. The record is from RNAcentral.
UUAUCGUUAGCUCAGUUGGUAGAGCAGUUGACUUUUAAUCAAUUGGUCGCAGGUUCGAAUCCUGCACGACCCACCA